Molecule: transfer RNA, 72 nt
Filed under: Bos taurus (domestic cattle)
Lineage: Eukaryota; Metazoa; Chordata; Mammalia; Artiodactyla; Bovidae
Also listed under: 5 other names
Rfam family: tRNA
About the family: Transfer RNA (tRNA) molecules are approximately 80 nucleotides in length. Their secondary structure includes four short double-helical elements and three loops (D, anti-codon, and T loops).
Source: Rfam by way of RNAcentral
UCCCUGGCAGUCCAAUUGUUAGGAUUUGCACUUUUACUGCUGAGGGCCCAAGUUCAAUCCCUGGUCAGGGAA